AAAAAACACCAAAAUCAAGCAAUUGCUUGUGAAAACCAAAAAGGAACUGGCAGAUUCAAAGCAAGCAGAAACUGAUCACUUAAUACUUCAAGCAUCUUUAAAAGGCGAGCUGGAGGCAAGCCAGCAGCAAGUAGAAGUCUAUAAAAUACAGCUGGCUGAAAUAACAUCAGAGAAGCACAAAAUCCACGAGCACCUGAAAACCUCUGCGGAACAGCACCAGCGUACGCUAAGUGCAUACCAGCAGAGAGUGACAGCACUACAGGAAGAGAGCCGUGCUGCCAAGGCAGAACAAGCUACUAUAACCUCUGAAUUCGAGAGCUACAAAGUCCGAGUUCAUAACAUUCUAAAACAACAGAAAAAUAAAUGUGUCUCAGGCUGAAACUGAGGGCGCUAAACAAGAAAGGGAACAUCUGGAAAUGCUGAUUGACCAGCUAAAAAUGAAAUUACAAGAUAGCCAAAAUAACUUACAGAUUAAUGUAUCUGAACUUCAAACAUUGCAGUCUGAACAUGAUACACUGCUAGAAAGGCACAAGAUGCUGCAGGAAGCUGUGUCCAAAGAGGCGGAACUCCGGGAAAAUGUUCACAGUUUAAUGUCUUCCUUCCACUCAUUCUUGAUACUCAUGAAUGCUGGAACAAAAAUGGUUCUGUCUCAUUCAGCCUUCAGAAAAAGAGCUGAAACCCAGCUCCUUCUCACCAUCUCCACUGCUCUCUUAUCAUUGCAAUCCAGUUGAACCCUCCUAAGGCAUCCUCCUGAAGUCUGAUUUUAUUCCAAAGGACCUCUGAUGCAAGCCUAAGGAGCCUGUUUGUGCAAAUAAUUAGGAACAAAGUCCUGGCUGCUUCUCAGAUGCUCGGCCUCAUGAUCUUCAGUGGGGAUUUAUGAGUCUUCAAGGCUCUCGGGACCUGGGAUGUAGCAAAAGAUAACAGGUCAUGAAAACUCGGUCCUUGUUACUCUGAUCCUUGUGCUUAAGUCAGACAAGCACAAGCCAAUUGGCUGCUGUGCUCCCAUCUCUCAAUAGGGGAUAAAUAUAUUCCAAUUGCAUAUCAUUAACAAAAAGUUGGUGCGUGAACUGGGGUGCCAGCUGCCAUCAGCUGUCAUUAAAAUGGAGUGUUAUGGUGUUACAAUUCCGGUAAAUGCAAAACUGUCUUGCGGCUAGUGGGAACACAUGAAGAAUGAAUCUCAUUAAACACAAGUACUUACUCAGAUGGUUCCAUCAAACUCCCUGAAGUGCCACUUACUGCGUGCCUGGGAGAUGGCGGGUGGAAGCACACACCCUUUGAUGUGUGUCACAGAGUGGCAGCUGCCCCAAGCAAAACAAAGCUCCUGCUCCGUCAUAGCUUCAGUGCGGAUUGAAAUUGAGAGAGGAUGACACAGCUGUAUUUCUGAGCAGUGGGCAUUUAGCGACAUCCAAGGGGACAAAUAAGCCUCUUAAAUUCAUUAGUAUCUUGAUAAGACUGAUUAUGCAGUGAGCGGUGAAUGGCUCUGACUUCUCAGGAAAAUGAAAUGAGAAGAAAGGGCAAGGAGGGGGUGGUUCUUUCCUGGAGCAGCUGUGAAGUCCUCUCAGGAGGUGGUGAACCCUGGAGAGCAACUGAUGCUACACAAAGGACAGCAGCUGAAAAGGAGCCUCCGUGGGUCACUGUCCCAGAGAGCCCCUAACUUGGCCGGCCCGGAAGGGCAGAGGAGAGGGCUUCCUGAGCUAAGCUGCCAGGUAACAGCUGCAGCCGCAGCCCCAGUGCACCCUACAGGGUCAUUUUCCAGGGCUGAAGCUGGAAAUGCGGAUGGCGGCCCCGAUUCAACUGGGUAAUGCAGAACAUUUGACAUCGCAUCUGGUGUCAGUGAUUUGGUUGCUAUUGUAGAUAUUUCAUGUCACACUGGAUAUUAAGGAUGAGGACGUCGCCCACAGAGGCAGGAAGUGUGGAGAAAGAACCCGCUUCUAUGCAAGUCAUGGGGUCGCGAGGUUAAUACGCUUCUGCGGCUCCAGUAAAAACUCUGCUAAUUGAGGCACGGCUGGGGUCCAGGAAUAUAGGAAGCUCUCCUCCUCUGGUCGUCACUGUAUGAUAUGGAUGCUUCAUUUCACUACCUCCUUCUGGGGGUGACACCCUCACCCCAACUACCUUUCCCAGGAGGCUGCCAAGUGCCAGGGCAGCUCUUCCCCAGAGGUGGGUGUGGGUCAUGUUUUUAAUGUCAGUUGCCAGUAAUUUACUAUUAGCUCUGUGAAAAGAGAACAUCUCUGAUGCUUAACUCAAGUCAUAGACAUGAGAUAGUCUCAAAAGAGGAUGCAAUUCCCUGAGAGUCAAUAAACACGAGGUACAGUUAUUAGACGAGGUUACUAGACUAACAGGGACAAGGAGGGCUGUUUGAGGCCAAGUGUGGUAAUCUCAGUGCUUUGGGGGCCAAGGCAGGAGGAUCAAUUGAGGCCAGGAGUUCAAGACCAGCUUGGGCAACAUAGCAAGAUCCUAUCUUUACAAAUUUUUUUUUUUUUUAAUGAGCUGGGUUUGGCGGCGUGCACCUGUAGUCCCUCCCAGCUACUUGGGAGGCUGAGAAGGGAGGAUCUUUUGAGUCCAGUUCAAGGCUGCAGUGAACUAUGGUGGUGCCACUGCACUCCAGCCUGGGCAACAGAGUAAGACCCUGUUUCUAAAAGCAAAAAACAACAAAAACAAAAAAACAAACAAAAAACCUUAAUAUAAAUGAUGUGUGAAUAUUGUCUUGUUAGGGAAUAAUGACAAGGAAAGAAAAGCCUAUACAUGUUUAGUACAGAUGCAAUUUUUUUUCCUAAUAUUUUUCAAACUCUGAGCUCAGGUGACCCUCCUGCCUUAGCAGUGGUGCAGUCUCAGCUCACUGUAACCUCCUCCUCCCAGGUUCAAGUGAUUGUCCUGCCUUAGCUUCUCAAGUAGCUGGGACUACAGGCAUGCGCCACCACGCCUGGCUAAUUUUUGUAUUUUUAGUAGAGAUAGGGGUUUACGAUGUUGACCAGGCUGGUCUUGAAAUCCUGACUUCAGGUGAUCCACCUGCCUUGGCCUUGCAAAGUGUUAGGAUUACAGGCAUAAGCCACCACACCCAGCCCUUUCCCUAAUAUUUUUGAUUGGUGGUUGGCUGAAUCCAUGGAUGUGAAUCCACUGAUGCAGAGGGCAUGACUUCCUGCACCUUGCAUCUGUCUGGUAUUUAUGAGUUACGAGGAUAAGAACUGGAUUUUUAAAGAGUAUCUUUGAGGGGCAAAGAAGACUUUGGACUAACACUCCCUUUAGGUCCCUGUAGAAUCUAACUUCAGCAUUUAGAAAAAAAAGAAGGCCAGGUGCGGUGGCUCAUGGCUGUCAUCUCAGCACUUUGGGAGGCUGAGGUAGGAGGAUUGCUUGAGGUCCAGAGUUAAAGACGAGCCUGGCCAACAUAACGAGACCCCAUCUCUCUUAAAAAAAAAAAAAAAAGAAAGAAACAAAUUUGAAAAAAAGAAAAUGAAAUUCCCGACAUUAACUCCAAGCUCUCCAUACAAACAUAACACUUUGCCAAAGCGAUUUGCAUGUUAACAAGGGAGAAUUCCAUAUUAACAUAUGAUAUUGAAUCAUGGAGCUGAUGGGGAGAAAGACUGUAUACAAGCAGCCACAGAUCCUCUCAGUAAUCUAGGCCCAGGUUUCUCAGGUCAAGGCUCUUGGUGGAUUCAGUCAUUGACAUAUUUGUGAGCAAAUGGUGUGUGGGCUUAUGUCAGGCAACCACAUGUGAAUGAGUCAGAAGCACUUUUGAAAAAAUCCAAGCUGUUCGUGAAAUCAAGAAAUUAAACACAGGCAGAAACAUCAACACUGUGCCACUCCGAGGCAAUCUUCAGACAGCUCUGAUGUGGAAUGAGUGAACUCAGAUGCUGUCCUGAAAUCAUCAAUCUGUCCUUGUUUUCUUUCUUACAUUGCAGUAUUGAAACUCAGAACAUGUAACUCUGCUCAACAAGAUGAUUUUGACUAACAGUUUCAGGGCCUGAAUGGAAUUGAGCCAAGCUGCAAAGAAAUCACAUUUACACUUAAAUUAAAGAUGCUACUUGUUAUGUGGAUAUGAUGAGUUCCAGGUAUUAUCUCUCUUUGCCAUCAAAUGCCACUUCUGGCCAGGUAUGGUGACUCAUGCCUGUAAUCCCAACAUUUUGAGAAGCCAAGGCAUGAGAAUUGCUUUAGGCCAGGAGUUCAAGACCAGCCUAGGUAACAUGGUGAGACUCUGUCUCUAUAAAAAAUUAAAAACUAGCCAGGCAUGGUGGCUAGUGCCUGUAGGCCCAGCUAUGAAGGAGGCUGAGGUGGGAGGAUCACUUGAGCCCAGGAGGUCGAGGCUGCAGUGAGCCAAGAUCACACCAUUGCAUUCCAGCCUGGGUGACACAGUAAGACCCUGUCUCUGAAAAAAAAAAAAAAAAAGCUAUUUCUGACCUACCUUUAUAGGCUGAGGUUGUUACGUUCUGCCUUUAAGAAUCUGAACUCUGAACACAUAUUACAUAAUAAACCUGCUGAGUAAAAGUUCUUUCACUGUGUGUAGGAAUCCUGGCAUUCAGUUGGAGUAGGGGAAAACUCACUUCAUAUCUUCUGAAUUUCUGUUUUCUUUAAAAGGUACUUCUUCCACAUCUUCUCUCCUUAUGAGGUGAUCAAAUGUUGAUAUGGAAAUAAAUUCACCAUCUAAGACCUAUCUUUGCUUUUUGCAUGGAGCACCCCAAAAAUUCUGAGGGCUUCCUUUCUAGUUUUACAGUUGCUUCAGAUGGAGAUUACUUGAGCUUCCACUUUGGCUUCCAUCAUUACCCACAUCUUACUAGACACUUUUCCAUGCUGAUGUAAUUAGUGUUCCUAAGAAUCAGUUGUAUCCUGUUUCCAUGAAUAACUAGUUUUUAGAAUGGAAAAGAACGUGUAGGGCUGGGCGCGGUUGCUCACCCCUGUAAUCCCAGCACUUUGGGAGGCCCAGAUAGGUGGAUCACAAGGUUAGGAGUUCGAGACCAUCUUGACCAACGUGGGGAAACCCCACCUCUACUGAAAAUACAAAAAAUUAGCCAGGCAUGGUGGUGCGCGCCUGUAAUCCCAGCUACUCAGGAGGCUGAGGCAGGAGAAUCGCUUGAACCCUGGAGGCGGAGGUUGCAGUGAGCCGAGAUUGCGCCACUGCACUCCAGCCUGGGUGACAGAGCGAGACUCACUCUC
This is a long non-coding RNA of Pongo pygmaeus (Bornean orangutan), 5145 nucleotides long. RefSeq lists it as uncharacterized. The transcript has 8 exons. Lineage: Eukaryota; Metazoa; Chordata; Mammalia; Primates; Hominidae. The record is from RefSeq and is a predicted model, not a curated record.